This is an RNA transcript of Dromiciops gliroides (monito del monte), 5379 nucleotides long. It is a transcript of the gene named phosphatidylinositol glycan anchor biosynthesis class G, with no coding region annotated. The record is from RefSeq and is a predicted model, not a curated record. NCBI's taxonomy places the organism in Eukaryota, Metazoa, Chordata, Mammalia, Microbiotheria, Microbiotheriidae. The transcript is spliced from 14 exons.
CUCACUAUGUCGUAUCGGCGUCUUCAGGUGCCGGUAGUGGGUCUUUGGUCGGGGCCGGGCCGGAGCUCAAGCUAGGGCUGCUGUGGGAACAGGCGCAGCCAUGCGGCUGGGCUCCGGGGCCUUCGCCGCCUGCUGCGUGGUGAUUGAGGUGCUCGGGGUCGCCGUCUUUCUCCGGGGUUUCUUCCCGGUAUCAGUGCGCUCUGCGUCCCCUGUCCGGCCCCUGCCCCCAGCGCCGGAGCCCGCGGCAGGAACAAGUUCCAACUGGACCCAGCUUCCACCUCCUCUCUUCAGAAAAGUUGUUAUAAUGCUGGUAGAUGGCUUGAGAGGUGAUUUUGUGUUUGGAUCAAAGGGUGUGCAGUUCAUGCCUUAUACAACGUAUCUUACAGAAAAAGGAUUCACUCAUAGUUUUAUAGCAGAAGCAAAGCCACCCACUGUUACUCUGCCUCGAAUCAAGGCCCUAAUGACAGGAAGUAUCCCUGGCUUUAUUGAUGCUGUUAUGAACUUUAAUUCUCCCGUGUUACUGGAAGACAACCUCAUUGGGCAGGCAAAAGCAGCUGGGAAAAGAAUCAUCUUUUAUGGAGAUGAUACAUGGAUUAAGUUAUUCCCAAAGCAUUUUGUAGAAUAUGAUGGAACAACCUCCUUUUUUGUGUCAGAUUUUAGAGAGGUUGAUGAUAAUAUUACAAGGCAUUUGGAUAAUGUAUUAAAAAGGGAAGACUGGGAUAUGCUAAUACUUCACUACCUAGGAUUGGAUCAUAUUGGUCACGUGACUGGGCCACAUAGUCCUUUGGUAGGACCAAAGCUUAAAGAGAUGGAUUACAUCCUAAAGAAGAUCCACAUUUCAUUGUUGUCCAAGGAGAGAGAGGCUUCUUUGCCCCAUUUAUUGGUCCUUUGUGGAGAUCAUGGGAUGUCUGAAACAGGAGGCCAUGGGGCCUCUUCAAUAGAGGAAGUGAGCACACCUCUGAUUUUGAUCAGCUCUGCAUUUCAAAGGAAAAGCGGGAACUUCCAACCUCCAAAGCAUGUCCAGCAGACUGACCUGGCUGCCACACUAGCAGUGGGCCUUGGUUUGCCGAUUCCAAAAAAUAGUGUGGGGAGCCUGUUGUUUCCAGUUGUGGAAGGAGCAACAAUAAGAGACCAGCUGAGGUUCCUGCACUUAAAUUCUGUACAGCUCAGCAGACUGCUGCAAGAGAAUGUGCCCAUGUAUGAGAAAGAUCCUGGAUUUCAGCAAUUUAAAAUAUCAGAAAAAUUGCAUGGGAAUUGGAUCAAGCUCUACUUGGAGGGAAAUAAUUCAGAAGUCCUUUUAAACCUUGGCAGAAAAGUUCUUAAGCAGUAUUUAAAUGCUUUGAAGACCCUGAGUAUGUCACUGAGCAAACAAGUAGCCCAAUAUGAUAUAUACUCAAUGGUGAUUGGGACUGUCAUAGUCUUGGAGGUUCUGAUUCUGCUUUUGCUCAGUACCCCGAAAGCUUUGUGCCAGAAGGCUGAGUUUGAGAUUCCACUGUUGUCUUCCUUGUUUUCUUUGCUGUUUUACUUGAUGGUCCUUGUUCUCUCUUCAGUCCAUGUUAUCGUGUGCACCUCAGCUGAGAGGUCAUGUUACUUCUGUAGUGUCUCUUGGCUGAUGGCCGUCAUGGUGAUGAUGCUGAUUUCUGCCCUUCUCUGUGUGAUCUUAUGUCUUCUCACAAAUAUGUUUGAGAAUGUCAAACCUCCAGCUAAGAAUCCAGCUGCCUCCAGUUCCAGCUGGUCGGGAUUAGAUCUGCUUAUUUUAUUUGGAACUCUGGGCCACGUUCUGAGUUUGGGUGCAAGCAGCUUUAUAGAAGAAGAACACCAAACCUGGUAUUUUCUUAUCAAUACUCUUUGUCUAGCUCUGGGUCAUGAAAUAUGUAGAAACCACUUUCUUGGGAAGGAAUUUGACCAUAAUGUAACUGUGGAAAGGAAUUUUCAAAAAGAGGCAAACAAGGUUAUACAAUACAAAAAUGACCAUGUGGAUGUCCCAGAGUUCAGCAAAAUGCACAAGACGUUGUCUUCUUUGGAACUGCCAGAGGGCUAUGAAAAGUGGUUGGGAUUGGCCAGUCCAUGGCUUAUACUGAUUUGCUGUAGACUUCUCCGAUCAUUAAAUCAGACAGGAGUGCAGUGGGCUCAUCGACCAGAUUUUGGCCACUGGCUGACCAGCUCUGAUCAUAAAGCUGAACUCUCUGUUCUGGCAUUUCUCUCCCUUGUUAUGGUCUUUAUUCUGGUUCAGAGAAGAUGCUCACCUGUUUCAAAAGUAGCAAUGGCACUAGGGCUCUUGGGAGUCUAUUGCUAUCGAGCAGCAUUUGGAAAUGUCUUUUUGCCAUGGCAACGAGACAACAAAGAUAUUUCUAAGGGAAUUAUUGAAGCUCGCUUUGUGUAUGUCUUUGUUCUGGGUAUUCUUUUCACUGGAACCAAAGACUUGCUUAAAGCCCAAGUCACUUCUGCAGAUAUCAAUAUCAAGAGUCGAGGUUUGUGGGAAAUAUAUAGCGGAUUAGUUCUUCUAGCAGCCUUGUUGCUCCGACCUCACAAUCUUCCUGUUUUGGUAUUUAGUCUGUUGAUUCAGGCUAUAAUGGCAAAAUUCAUCUGGAAGCCCUUGAAACAUGAUGCAGCUCAGAUUACCAUAAUGCAUUAUUGGUUUGGCCAAGCUUUCUUUUAUUUUCAGGGUAAUUCCAAUAACAUUGCCACACUGGAUAUUUCAGCAGGCUUUGUUGGCCUGGACCACUAUAUAGAAGUGCCAGCUAUGUUCCUCACGGCUUUUGCAACAUAUAUAGGACCUAUCCUUUGGGCCAUUCAUUUACUGAGUUUUUUGAGUUCAGAAAACAACAGCAGGAGCUCAGCAAUGAGUCACGCCUGCUUCUGCUAUGCGGUGAUAUGUUCCAUCCCUGUGUCUGCGUAUAUCAUCCUGGUGACAUCUCUACGUUACCAUUUGUUUAUAUGGAGUGUGUUUUCUCCAAAACUUCUCUAUGAGGGAAUGCAUCUAUUACUCACAGCUACCAUUUGUGUAUUUUUCACAGCCAUGGACCAAACCAAUCUCAUAAAACCUUAGUCUAUUAAGUAUGCCAGGAAAGAACUGAGCUUUUUAAAAUGCCUAUUAAUUGCUGACUGGAUUUGAGUAAUGGAAGAUAAGUUUAACUACUUAGAAGAUCGUUCUAGAAAAAGAUAAAAAGUUAUUUAUGGCUUAUGAGUUCUACCAGUUUAAAAAAAAUCUUCAACUUCUUUGACUUUUGUACUUGAAUUUAGAUUUACUGUAAAUGACUUUUGGUGGUUGAGAUGGGAGAGGGGACUGACUGGUGAGGGAGGGGGAGGAGGAGGAGAAACUCUUCAACCAUUUGAAAAAGUACUAAUUUUGUUUCAAAAUAUUAAAUUUAAUUACAAACCAUGACCAUUUCCCCUUAAUGAGUCAGUCUAAAAACAUCUGGUUUUGUUGAUUUACUCCAAACAUAUUAUAAAUUUAGAGUUUUGUUUGUUAAUGAAUGACAGUUUUUAAAAAUUUUUAAAACUUUACUGAACUGCUGGAUGCACUUGACUGAGGGGCUAAGAAGUGGAAGGAGAAGCAGACGUAUCAGUCAAAAAUGUUUUUAUCCAACUCUGCCAUGAUUAUUCAUGAGAUAGCAUGGAGAAAGAAAGAGCGACAUGAGGCUAACUCUAUGACCCUCCAUGAGCAGUAGCAGGCAGCUAAAUUCCUGGAUUGUAGUCACGGGACAUUCUAGGCCGAAGGAGGAAACUGAAAGAGAGGAAGAACAUCGGCUUCAACCAAGGGACAGAAGGUACAAAGAGCUAGAGGAGAAUCGUAACAAGGAUGCUGGUGCCCGACAUUGCCCUGGGCUGGUCAAGGGUCAGGGAGGAGAGAGGAUGUUCACUUGUACUCCCCCUGCUCCCUGGGAAGACAUCCCUGAGCUAAGCCUGUGCAUGUGAGAAUAAGGGUGCACCAGGUGUCCAGCCAACACUUAGAAACUCUUGUAAAGAGAAACAAGGACAGGAACAGUGAGAUGCAAUAAUUCCUCUGAAAAAGACCUGGAGGAUUUAAUGAUUCUGAGGUCAUUAUGAGUCAUCGAUGUGGCAUGGCAGCUAAAACCACUAAUGGGAUCUUAGUCUUCAUCAGUAAAAACAUCCUGUCCAGAAUUUUUCAGGUCACAGCUCCUCUGUCUUCUGCCUUGGGGGGUCUGGUGGAUAAGGCACUGGACCUGAAGUCAAGAAGAUCUGAGUUCAAAUCCACCCUUAGACGCUUCCUGGCUGCGUGUUCCUGAGCAAGUCACUUAGCUUCUCUCUUCUUCAGCUUCCUCAUCUGCAAAGUGGAGACAAUCAUGGCACCUGUCUCCCGGGGUGGCUCUGAUGGUCAGACGAGAUGGACGGAUCCUCAGACCGGGUUUGGAGUGACAAAAGUGUUCCUUUAUCAAAGGUGUUCAACAAGGAACUGACCGUACAUGUUAAUUACAUGUCCAAAACCUGACAAUUUUGCAAAACUUGUGAAAUGUGAUGAAAAAACAAAUGAACAUUCUCCAAGAGCUUUGGGAAGCAGCUACCUGGCUUUUCCUAGAAUAGCCAAAAGUUCUUUCUCUCCUUUGGGUUUUCAGAGAAAAUAUCUUCAGAGAAUGGAAGGUCAACAAAUAGUCAGACUUGGUAAUAGGUGGGAUCGUGUGAAGCACAAACCUAAUUAUUCUGACUCAAACCUUGACUCAGCAUCCUUGACCCUGUGGUUUUAGAAUUGAAGAGGAAAGGGAAAGGGCACUGCAUCUGGGAGGCAGGACCAAAGCGUUUGGUCCUACUUGUCAAGUGGCAGCUCCUUGAGAGCAGGGCCUGGGUUUGGUUGGGUUUUUAAUACCUUUAUACAGGCUGUCCCAAAAGUCUUAGUGCAGCGUUAAGCUCUAAUAUCUUAAAAACUGCACUAAGGUUUUGGGAAUACCCUGAAUGUAUUUCCUGGCACUUAAGUAGAUAUUUAAUAAAAUUCAUUAUAUGGAAUUGGUAAGAGCUGAUGUUUAAGUAACUGACCUUACUACCAACCCAUUGUGAGUUAUAAAAGAAAAUUGAUAUCCAGUUAUAGCCAACAUUCCUCCAGCAGGGAGAGAAGGGCUCUGACACAGGGGAGUCAGAUUAUCGGAAAGAAAUUGAGCUGGAGAGGGUUCCAUUUGUUAUUUACUUUCAAUUCCUGAGAAUGAAAAACUUAUCACAUAGGUCUAUUUUGGUGUAUGAGUGUGUCUGUGUGUGUGACAUGUACCUGGGAUCAUUGGCUAAUAAGUUGAAUGAGUUAAAAUCACAGCCCAGAAAAACACUGACAGGCCAGAUAAUGGUGUCAGCAUCUCUGGUAAACAAGACUGUUUAGAGACAGUCCUAGUCAUGCCCCUAGGCAAAUGUAACAGCAGAAGGAGUUAUCAACCC